This 295-nucleotide ribosomal RNA is filed under the name uncultured bacterium. Its description in RNAcentral is "partial 16S ribosomal RNA". It matches the Rfam family "Bacterial small subunit ribosomal RNA", at positions 46 to 334 of the family's 1533-position model. The record is from RNAcentral.
AGGCUUAAUACAUGCAAGUCGUGGGGCAGCGCAGUGUAGCAAUACAUGGGCGGCGACCGGCAAACGGGUGCGGAACACGUACGCAACCUUCCUUUAAGUGGGGGAUAGCCCAGGGAAACUUGGAUUAAUACCCCGUAUCAUUAUGAGAUGGCAUCAUCUUAUAAUUAAAGCUCCGGCGCUUAGAGAUGGGCGUGCGUCUGAUUAGGUAGUUGGCGGGGUAACGGCCCACCAAGCCUACGAUCAGUAACUGGUGUGAGAGCACGACCAGUCACACGGGCACUGAGACACGGGCCCG